GACGAACGCUGGCGGCGUGCUUAACACAUGCAAGUCGAACGGAAAGGCCCUGCUUGCAGGGUACUCGAGUGGCGAACGGGUGAGUAACACGUGGGUGAUCUGCCCUGCACUUCGGGAUAAGCCUGGGAAACUGGGUCUAAUACCGGAUAGGAGCCAUUUUUAGUGUGAUGGUUGGAAAGUUUUUUUCGGUGUAGGAUGAGCUCGCGGCCUAUCAGCUUGUUGGUGGGGUAAUGGGCUACCAAGGCGGCGACGGGUAGCCGGCCUGAGAGGGUGGACGGCCACAUUGGGACCGAGAUACGGCCCAGACUCCUACGGGAGGCAGCAGGGGGGAAUAUUGCACAAUGGGCGCAAGCCUGAUGCAGCGACGCCGCGUGGGGGAUGACGGCCUUCGGGCUGGAAACUCCUUUCGCUAGGGACGAAGCUUUUUGUGACGGUACCUAGAUAAGAAGCACCGGCUAACUACGUG
RNAcentral lists this ribosomal RNA (466 nucleotides) under uncultured bacterium. Its description in RNAcentral is "partial 16S ribosomal RNA". It matches the Rfam family "Bacterial small subunit ribosomal RNA", at positions 28 to 507 of the family's 1533-position model. The record is from RNAcentral.